GUGGAGUGGAGCGGAGCCCUAUGGAGCUGUGGGGCAGUCAGCUUCAGAUCAUGGAGUAGGCUGGCUGGACAACCCCUUGAAAAUCCUGCAGAGGGAAUGGAAUAGCCUUUGAAAAAGUCCUCUGUGCUGGCCUCUAACCCCAUCUCAAGAAGACCUGCCACGAGGAUACCCAAUAUUAUGUAUUCUGAGCAUGAAGCAGGGAAGAGUAAACUGCCAGCAGGAGCAGUUAGUCACAUCAAGCAUCUUUUGAAUGUCCAUGAAGAGACCGCUUUAACUGAGUUUUAGGUAAAGAUGCAAUGAAGCAUUGUAAUGGAUACAACCUAUCCUGAAGGAUGACCCAACACUCUCACAAAUCUUGGGAGACAGGCCAGUCCUUGCCUACAGACAGCCCCCCAACCUGAAGCAAAUACUCACCAGCAACCA
Molecule: long non-coding RNA, 423 nt
Organism: Chelonia mydas (Green sea turtle)
Lineage: Eukaryota; Metazoa; Chordata; Testudines; Cheloniidae
Exons: 3
Source: RefSeq, a predicted model, not a curated record